RNAcentral lists this ribosomal RNA (274 nucleotides) under uncultured bacterium. RNAcentral's name for it is "partial 16S ribosomal RNA". It matches the Rfam family "Bacterial small subunit ribosomal RNA", at positions 524 to 796 of the family's 1533-position model. The record is from RNAcentral.
UACGUAGGGGGCUAGCGUUGUCCGGAUUUAUUGGGCGUAAAGAGCUCGUAGGUGGUUCGGUAAGUCGGAUGUGAAAUCUCCAGGCUCAACCUGGAGGGGUCAUUCGAUACUGCCGUGACUGGAGUUCGGUAGAGGAGUGUGGAAUUCCUGGUGGAGCGGUGAAAUGCGCAGAGAUCAGGAGGAACACCCGUAGCGAAGGCGGCACUCUGGGCCGAUACUGACACUGAGGAGCGAAAGCGUGGGGAGCGAACAGGAUUAGAAACCCUAGUAGUCC